CCCUUAGAUGUUCUGGGCCGCACACGCGCUACACUGAAGGAGGCAGCGUGUACUCCUGGAUCGCAAGAUUUGGGUAACCCGCGAAUCUCCUUCGUGCUAGGGAUUGAGGUUUGCAAUUAUCCUUCAUGAACGAGGAAUUCCCAGUAAGUGCAAGUCAUAAGCUUGCGCUGACUACGUCCCUGCCCUUUGUACACACCGCCCGUCGCUACUACCGAUUGAAUGAUUUAGUGAGGACUUCGGACUGGGACCGAUGCGGCUUUCGGGCUGCGUCGGUAUUCUGGAAAGAUGUCCAAACUGUAUCAUUUAGAGGAAGUAAAAGUCGUANCA
Molecule: ribosomal RNA, 327 nt
Filed under: uncultured eukaryote
Lineage: Eukaryota
Description: partial 18S ribosomal RNA
Rfam family: Eukaryotic small subunit ribosomal RNA
Source: RNAcentral